RNAcentral lists this ribosomal RNA (467 nucleotides) under uncultured bacterium. RNAcentral describes it as "bacterial SSU rRNA". It matches the Rfam family "Bacterial small subunit ribosomal RNA", at positions 349 to 793 of the family's 1533-position model. The record is from RNAcentral.
CAGCAGUGGGGGAAUAUUGCACAAUGGGCGCAAGCCUGAUGCAGCCAUGCCGCGUGUAUGAAGAAGGACCUUCGGGUUGUAAAGUACGUUUCAGCAGUGAGGAAGGCGGGUACGGUUAAUAGCGUGCUUGUUUGACGUUAGCUGCAGAAGAAGACACCGGCUAACUCCGUGCCAGCAGCCGCGGUAAUACGGAGGGUGCGAGCGUUAAUCGGAAUUACUGGGCGUAAAGCGCAUGCAGGUGGUUUGUUAAGUCAGAUGUGAAAGGACCCGGGGCGUCAACCUACGGAAAGUUGCAUUUAGUAAACUAGGCAGACUAGAGUACUGUAGAGGGGGGUAGGAAUUUCAGGUGUAGCGGUGAAAUGCGUAGAGAUCUGAAGGAAUACCGGUGGCGAAGGCGGCCCCCUGGACAGAUACUGACACUCAGAUGCGAAAGCGUGGGGAGCAAACAGGAUUAGAUACCCUGGUAG